AUACUUACCUGGCAGGGGAGAUACCAUGAUCACGAAGGUGGUUUUCCCAGGGCGAGGCUUAUCCAUUGCACUCCGGAUGUGCUGACCCCUGCAAUUUCCCCAAAUGUGGGAAACUCGACUGCAUAAUUUGUGGUAGUGGGGGACUGCGUUCAUGCUCUCCCCUG
This 164-nucleotide small nuclear RNA is filed under the name Castor canadensis (American beaver). Its description in RNAcentral is "U1 spliceosomal RNA (ENSCCNG00000000806.1)". It matches the Rfam family "U1 spliceosomal RNA". From Rfam's summary of the family: U1 is a small nuclear RNA (snRNA) component of the spliceosome (involved in pre-mRNA splicing). The record is from Rfam by way of RNAcentral. Lineage: Eukaryota; Metazoa; Chordata; Mammalia; Rodentia; Castoridae.